Molecule: unclassified non-coding RNA, 641 nt
Filed under: Hevea brasiliensis (rubber tree)
Lineage: Eukaryota; Viridiplantae; Streptophyta; Magnoliopsida; Malpighiales; Euphorbiaceae
Source: RNAcentral
CGGGGACAACGCUUACUGUUUCGCUAUAUGGUUCACAGAACCAUCAUGCAGUAGAGAUCAUGAUUGCACCACUGUUUGGAUGGCCAAUCGCGAUUUUCCAGUUAAUGGCAUUCGCUCAANNCUGGCUGCAAAAAACCGGUAAUCUUGUCUUAACUGAUGCUGGUAAGUACAUUGCCUGGUCUACAGACACUGUUUCCCCCUCCUCCACAGAUCUGAUCCUCUAUGACACCGGUAAUCUUGUUCUGCAAAAUGUGGAGGGUGUUAUUCUCUGGCAAAGCUUCGAUUCACCUACCAAUACCCUUCUUCCUUCGCAACGAUUUACCAAAGAUAUGCAACUUGUCUCAUCAAGAUCCCGAACAAACUUUUCCUCUGGUUUCUACAAGCUAUUUUUCAACAACGAUAAUCUUCUUCGUCUUCUGUAUGAUGAUUCAAAGGUUACAAGUAUUUACUGGCCAACCCCAUGGCUUGUAAGCUGGGCGACUAAGAGAUUCCCCUAUAACAGCAGUAGACUUGCCUGUCUUGAUACUUUGGGCAAGUUUACUUCUUCUGAUAAUUUCUCGUUUGUAUCAGCAGAUUACGGAGUGAGACUUCAGCGAAGACUGACAAUUGACUUCGAUGGUAAUCUUCGAUUAUAUAGCCGA